Molecule: ribosomal RNA, 253 nt
Filed under: uncultured bacterium
Lineage: Bacteria
Description: partial 16S ribosomal RNA
Rfam family: Bacterial small subunit ribosomal RNA
Source: RNAcentral
GACGAGGGGUCCUAGCGUUGUUCGGAAUCACUGGGCGUAAAGAGUUCGUAGGCGGCUCCAUAAGUCGGGUGUGAAACCCCACGGCUCAACCGUGGAAGUGCAUUCGAAACUGCGGAGCUUGAAUAUGGUAGAGGAGAGUAGAAUUGCUGGUGUAGUGGUGAAAUACGUAGAUAUCAGCAGGAAUACCGGUGGCGAAGGCGGCUCUCUGGACCAAUAUUGACGCUGAGGAACGAAAGUGCGGGGAUCAAACAGG